CCUGAUCUAAUAAACAGACCCUGGUCUCAGCAGGACUUCCUGAUCUAAUAAACAGACCCUGGUCUCAGCAGGACUUCCUGAUCUAAUAAACAGACCCUGGUCUCAGCAGGACUUCCUGAUCUAAUAAACAGACCCUGGUCUCAGUAGGACUUCCUGAUCUAAUAAACAGACCCUGGUCUCAGCAGGACUUCCUGAUCUAAUAAACAGACCUUGGUCUCAGUAGGACUUCCUGAUCUAAUAAACAGACCCUGGUCUCAGUAGGACUUCCUGAUCUAAUAAACAGACCCUGGUCUCAGCAGGACUUCCUGAUCUAAUAAACAGACCCUGGUCUCAGCAGGACUUCCUGAUCUAAUAAACAGACCCUGGUCUCAGUAGGACUUCCUGAUCUAAUAAACAGACCCUGGUCUCAGUAGGACUUCCUGAUCUAAUAAACAGACCCUGGUCUCAGUAGGACUUCCUGAUCUAAUAAACAGACCCUGGUCUCAGUAGGACUUCCUGAUCUAAUAAACAGACCCUGGUCUCAGCAGGACUUCCUGAUCUAAUAAACAGACCCUGGUCUCAGUAGGACUUCCUGAUCUAAUAAACAGACCCUGGUCUCAGUAGGACUUCCUGAUCUAAUAAACAGACCCUGGUCUCAGCAGGACUUCCUGAUCUAAUAAACAGACCCUGGUCUCAGUAGGACUUCCUGAUCUAAUAAAGGAUAAAUCAAACAGGCAGCAGACAUCAUAGCAAUAAGUCUCACAGGGAUGUACUAGGGAAUAUAAAGGACAAGAAGGCUGGAAUAGUUUAAACCUGCAACACCACGUCUGACCAGAAGAGGGGGCUGUGGUGGAGUUGAGCAGAUUUGAGUCAUUUUAAAAACCAGCUGUGUUGAGCAGGUUGUUACAUUGAACACACCCACUGUAUAGAAACUCAUUUAUUCUCUGUAAAUAGUGCCUAUUUAUAUUCCAUCCCCAAUCCCAUACCAACCAAAGCUGCCUUUUUUCAACUUUUGAAACAACUUAAAGCGUAUAGUAUUUUUGAAGUAAAAACAACUGGCGAACCUGUUUUUAAUUUGUAAAGAUAACAGGGAAAAGCUGGAGAUUCUCUUCUGAUGAUCUGAGGUGAUUGUCUUCUCUCACGUCUGACCGACAGAACCUGUUACAGAUGGUGACCCCUGACCUAUCCGGUUACAGAUGGUGACCCCUGACCUAUCCUGUUACACAUGGUGACCCCUGACCUAUCCUGUUACACGUGGUGACCCCUGACCUAUCCUGUUACAGAUGGUGACCCCUGACCUAUCCUGUUACACGUGGUGACCCCUGACCUAUCCUGUUACAGAUGGUGACCCCUGACCUAUCCUGUUACAGAUGGUGACCCCUGACCUAUCUUGUUACACGUGGUGACCCCUGACCUAUCCUGUUACACGUGGUGACCCCUGACCUAUCCUGUUACACGUGGUGACCCCUGACCUAUCCUGUUACACUGACUCUGUAUCGCUAUAUUUACCUAACACUCUCUCGUUACUAGUGUAACCCUGGAGAUUCUCUUCUGAUGAUCUGAGGUGAUUGUCUUCUCUCACGUCUGACCGACAGAACCUGUUACAGAUGGUGACCCCUGACCUAUCCGGUUACAGAUGGUGACCCCUGACCUAUCCUGUUACACGUGGUGACCCCUGACCUAUCCUGUUACCUGUUCGGUGUGCUCUCUCUCGUUACUAGUGUAACCCUGAACUGUGGUUCCUCUCUUUGGCUCUGUCUGAAAUGGCACUCUCUUCCCUCCAUUUGGUUUAUUUAACAACAAAUCAGUUAAUUAAGACAUACUUGUUUACAAUGACAGCCUACCCCCCGGGGCCAAACCCGAACGACGCUGGGACAAUUGUGCGCUGCCCUAUGGGAUACAGCCUGGAUUCGAACCAGGGACUGUAGUGACGCCUCUUGCACUGAGAUGUAAGUGCACUACUUUAGACCAGAGCCCCAUGGAACCCUCUUUCCUAUGGACCCUGGUUUAUAGUAGUGCCCUCUAUAGGGUGCCAUUUUAGGUUGCACACUUUGACCCAUCUCCUGGUUAGUGGACAUACAGAUCUGUUAUGUAAUGGGUUAGAGGUCCUUUAUGUAUUAAUCUGUGUAUUAAUCUGUCUUGGGUUAGAGAUUCUUUAUGUAUUAAUCUGUCUUGGGUUAGAGGCUCUUUAUGUAUUAAUCUGUCUUGGGUUAGAGGUCCUUUAUGUAUUAAUCUGUCUUGGGUUAGAGGUUCUUUAUGUAUUAAUCUGUCUUGGGUUAGAGGUCCUUUAUGUAUUAAUCUGUCUUGGGUUAGAGGUUCUUUAUGUAUUAAUCUGUCUUGGGUUAGAGGUCCUUUAUGUAUUAAUCUGUCUUGGGUUAGAGAUUCUUUAUUUAUUAAUCUGUCUUGGGUUAGAGGUCCUUUAUGUAUUAAUCUGUCUUGGGUUAGAGGUCCUUUAUGUAUUAAUCUGUCUUGGGUUAGAGGUCCUUUAUGUAUUAAUCUGUCUUGGGUUAGAGGUCCUUUAUGUAUUAAUCUGUCUUGGGUUAGAGGUCCUUUAUGUAUUAAUCUGUCUUGGGUUAGAGGUCCUUUAUGUAUUAAUCUGUCUUGGGUUAGAGGUCCUUUAUGUAUUAAUCUGUCUUGGGUUAGAGAUUCUUUAUGUAUUAAUCUGUCUUGGGUUAGAGGUCCUUUAUGUAUUAAUCUGUCUUGGGUUAGAGGUCCUUUAUGUAUUAAUCUGUCUUGGGUUAGAUUCAUAAUGUAUUCAUCUGUCUUGGGUUAGAGGCUCUUUAUGUAUUAAUCUGUGUAUUAAUCUGUCUUGGGUUAGAGGCUCUUUAUGUAUUAAUCUGUCUUGGGUUUGUACAGUUAUAUUGCUGAAUGGUAAUCUUCAUAACGUUUCCCUCCUAACACUUUGUUCUCUGUGUUUGGAGCUCCUGGUCAUGAAUGUGUACGGCUUGAUUUAUUGACAGUGGGCAGCCUCCCAAAUCACACCCUAUGCCCUUUACAGUGAACUGCGUUUAACCAGACUAGUGCACUAUAUAGGGAAUAGGGUGCCGUUUUAGGGCCGCAGGCGGUGUGAUUUUUAAAGGAUGUUUUUUGACUUGUCUUUGUUCUACACUGUUUUGAUUGGAGCGGUUUAAAGGUUGAAGUCAAUUCCUUCCUAGUCGGCGUUCCAGGCCGACUACGUUACAGACGCAUUGCAUCCACCCAUUGUUCUGCACCACGUCAUCGAGUGGCACAAUCGGGCCUCAGAUUGCUAUGUAAUAGGAUGUGGUUAGGUGUUUAACAGCUAUCUAGGCAGGCAUCUGCAGUGUAGUCGUCCUGGAACGUGUCCGAUGUGUUCCUUCCUGUUACUAGUGAGUGUUAUGUUAAACACCUGACCACAUCCUAUCUAGGCAGGCAUCUGCAGUGUAGUCGUCCUGGAACGUGUCCGUUGUGUUCCUUCCUGUUACUAGUGAGUGUUAUGUUAAACACCUGACCACAUCCUAUCUAGGCAGGCAUCUGCAGUGUAGUCGUCCUGGAACGUGUCCGUGUUCCUUCCUGUUACUAGUGAGUGUUAUGUUAAACACCUGACCACAUCCUAUCUAGGCAGGCAUCUGCAGUGUAGUCGUCCUGGAACGUGUCCGUGUUCCUUCCUGUUACUAGUGAGUGUUAUGUUAAACACCUGACCACAUCCUAUCUAGGCAGGCAUCUGCAGUGUAGUCGUCCUGGAACGUGUCCGUGUUCCUUCCUGUUACUAGUGAGUGUUAUGUUAAACACCUGACCACAUCCUAUCUAGGCAGGCAUCUGCAGUGUAGUCGUCCUGGAACGUGUCCGUUGUGUUCCUUCCUGUUACUAGUGACUGUUAUGUUGCAUGUUCUUUUCUGAACCGGUGUCUGGCUCGUAGGACUGUAGUUUUAACUGAACCGGUGUCUGGCUCGUAGGACUGUAGUUUUAACUGAACCGGUGUCUGGCUCGAAGGACUGUAGUUUUAACUGAACCGGUGUCUGGCUCGUAGGACUGUAGUUUUAACUGAACCGGUGUCUGGCUCGAAGGACUGUAGUUUUAACUGAACCGGUGUCUGGCUCGUAGGACUGUAGUUUUAACUGAACCGGUGUCUGUAGUUGUAGUUUAGUGAUUCUCUGCAUGCAUGUGUUUUAUUAAUUGUCUACAAUCAGAGCAGCAACGUGCUAAGGGAACCCUGCCUCCUACAUAGUGCAUCACUUUAGACUAGAGCCAUCUGGGCUUCCCCAUCCGGGCUUCCUCACCUGGGCUUCCCCACCUGGGUUUCCCCACCCGGGCUUCCUCACCUGGGCUUCCCCACCUGGGCUUCCCCAUCUGGGCUUCCCACCUCGGCUUCCCCACCUGGGUUUCCCCACCUGGGCUUCCUCACCUGGGCUUCCUCACCUGGGCUUCCCCAUCUGGGCUUCCCCAUCCGGGCUUCCUCACCUGGGCUUCCCCACCUGGGUUUCCCCACCUGGGCUUCCUCACCUGGGCUUCCUCACCUCGGCUUCCCCAUCCGGGCUUCCUCACCUGGGCUUCCCCACCUGGGUUUCCCCACCUGGGCUUCCUCACCUGGGCUUCCCAAUUUUCCCUGGUCUAAAGUAGUGCAGUAUGAAGGGAAUAGGGUGCGUUUGUGAUGUUAACUGUUGUGUUUUUCUACUGGCUGUACAAUUUGAUAUUCUUUCCCAUUCUGGGUCGUCAACAACACACAGGUCUGGAACUAUUUUAAUGAAGAGGUCUCUAUCAGAGAAACUAUGUUGUAUCCCCUAUGCCAUCCUAUUCCCUAUAUAGUACACUACUUUUGGCCCGGUCAGGCGAGGGACAACAGUGGUUUGUAAUGACAUUGGGGAGUUGAGAGAGAGCUGGAGAUCAGCCACAUGUCUGUCACUCUGGCGUGUGUCUAGUGUGACGCCAGAUGUGCCUGUAAAUACAUUGUGAAGAGAUUUGUUUUUAUGGGGAAGAAUAAAGUUUUCAAU
Oncorhynchus keta (chum salmon) is the source of this 4928-nucleotide long non-coding RNA. RefSeq lists it as uncharacterized. Lineage: Eukaryota; Metazoa; Chordata; Actinopteri; Salmoniformes; Salmonidae. The transcript is spliced from 5 exons. The record is from RefSeq and is a predicted model, not a curated record.